RNAcentral lists this ribosomal RNA (241 nucleotides) under uncultured bacterium. RNAcentral describes it as "partial 16S ribosomal RNA". It matches the Rfam family "Bacterial small subunit ribosomal RNA", at positions 524 to 764 of the family's 1533-position model. The record is from RNAcentral.
UACGUAGGUGGCAAGCGUUGUCCGGAAUUAUUGGGCGUAAAGCGCGCGCAGGCGGUCCUUUAAGUCUGAUGUGAAAGCCCACGGCUCAACCGUGGAGGGUCAUUGGAAACUGGGGGACUUGAGUGCAGGAGAGAAGAGUGGAAUUCCACGUGUAGCGGUGAAAUGCGUAGAGAUGUGGAGGAACACCAGUGGCGAAGGCGACUCUUUGGCCUGUAACUGACGCUGAGGCGCGACAGCGUGG